CCUACGGGGGGCUGCAGUGGGGAAUAUUGGACAAUGGGGGGAACCCUGAUCCAGCCAUGCCGCGUGUGUGAAGAAGGCCCUCGGGUUGUAAAGCACUUUCAGUGAGGAAGAACACCUGGUGGUUAAUACCCAUCGGGAAAGACAUCACUCACAGAAGAAGCACCGGCUAACUCCGUGCCAGCAGCCGCGGUAAUACGGAGGGUGCGAGCGUUAAUCGGAAUUACUGGGCGUAAAGCGCGCGUAGGUGGCUUGAUAAGCCGGUUGUGAAAGCCCCGGGCUCAACCUGGGAACGGCAUCCGGAACUGUCAAGCUAGAGUGCAGGAGAGGAAGGUAGAAUUCCCGGUGUAGCGGUGAAAUGCGUAGAGAUCGGGAGGAAUACCAGUGGCGAAGGCGGCCUUCUGGACUGACACUGACACUGAGGUGCGAAAGCGUGGGUAGCAAACAGGAUUAGAUACCCUGGUAGUC
Molecule: ribosomal RNA, 465 nt
Filed under: Vreelandella stevensii
Lineage: Bacteria; Pseudomonadati; Pseudomonadota; Gammaproteobacteria; Oceanospirillales; Halomonadaceae
Description: partial 16S ribosomal RNA
Rfam family: Bacterial small subunit ribosomal RNA
Source: RNAcentral